This 270-nucleotide ribosomal RNA is filed under the name uncultured archaeon. RNAcentral's name for it is "partial 16S ribosomal RNA". It matches the Rfam family "Archaeal small subunit ribosomal RNA", at positions 477 to 747 of the family's 1478-position model. The record is from RNAcentral.
CGGCAGCCCGAGUGGUGAUCACUAUUAUUGGGCCUAAAGCGUCCGUAGCCGGCCGAGCAAGUCUUCCGUUAAAUCCAGCGUCUCAAGCGUUGGACCGCGGGAGAUACUACACGGCUAGAGAGUGGGAGAGGUCAGCGGUAUUCUGGGGGUAGGGGCGAAAUCCUUUGAUCCCCGGAGGACCACCAGUGGCGAAGGCUGCUGACUAGAACACGUCUGACGGUCAGGGACGAAAGCUGGGGUAGCGAACCGGAUUAGAUACCCGAGUAGUCC